UGGAAAGAUGAAUCAAAGAAGGUAAUAAUCCUGUAGUCGAAAAUGUUGUCUCUCUUGAGUGGAUCCUGAGUACGACGGAGCACGUGAAAUUCCGUCGGAAUCUGGGAGGACCAUCUCCUAAGGCUAAAUACUCUCUAGUGACCGAUAGUGAACCAGUACCGUGAGGGAAAGGUGAAAAGCACCCCGGAAGGGGAGUGAAAUAGAACCUGAAACCGUGUGCUUACAAGUAGUCAGAGCCCGUUAAUGGGUGAUGGCGUGCCUUUUGUAGAAUGAACCGGCGAGUUACGAUUUGAUGCAAGGUUAAGCAGUAAAUGUGGAGCCGUAGCGAAAGCGAGUCUGAAUAGGGCGUUUAGUAUUUGGUCGUAGACCCGAAACCAGGUGAUCUACCCUUGGUCAGGUUGAAGUUCAGGUAACACUGAAUGGAGGACCGAACCGACUUACGUUGAAAAGUGAGCGGAUGAACUGAGGGUAGCGGAGAAAUUCCAAUCGAACCUGGAGAUAGCUGGUUCUCUCCGAAAUAGCUUUAGGGCUAGCCUCAAGUGAUGAUUAUUGGAGGUAGAGCACUGUUUGGACGAGGGGCCCCUCUCGGGUUACCGAAUUCAGACAAACUCCGAAUGCCAAUUAAUUUAACUUGGGAGUCAGAACAUGGGUGAUAAGGUCCGUGUUCGAAAGGGAAACAGCCCAGACCACCAGCUAAGGUCCCAAAAUAUAUGUUAAGUGGAAAAGGAUGUGGCGUUGCCCAGACAACUAGGAUGUUGGCUUAGAAGCAGCCAUCAUUUAAAGAGUGCGUAAUAGCUCACUAGUCGAGUGACACUGCGCCGAAAAUGUACCGGGGCUAAACAUAUUACCGAAGCUGUGGAUUGUCCUUUGGACAAUGGUAGGAGAGCGUUCUAAGGGCGUUGAAGCAUGAUCGUAAGGACAUGUGGAGCGCUUAGAAGUGAGAAUGCCGGUGUGAGUAGCGAAAGACGGGUGAGAAUCCCGUCCACCGAUUGACUAAGGUUUCCAGAGGAAGGCUCGUCCGCUCUGGGUUAGUCGGGUCCUAAGCUGAGGCCGACAGGCGUAGGCGAUGGAUAACAGGUUGAUAUUCCUGUACCACCUAUAAUCGUUUUAAUCGAUGGGGGGACGCAGUAGGAUAGGCGAAGCGUGCGAUUGGAUUGCACGUCUAAGCAGUAAGGCUGAGUAUUAGGCAAAUCCGGUACUCAUUAAGGCUGAGCUGUGAUGGGGAGAAGACAUUGUGUCUUCGAGUCGUUGAUUUCACACUGCCGAGAAAAGCCUCUAGAUAGAAAAUAGGUGCCCGUACCGCAAACCGACACAGGUAGUCAAGAUGAGAAUUCUAAGGUGAGCGAGCGAACUCUCGUUAAGGAACUCGGCAAAAUGACCCCGUAACUUCGGGAGAAGGGGUGCUCUUUAGGGUUAACGCCCAGAAGAGCCGCAGUGAAUAGGCCCAAGCGACUGUUUAUCAAAAACACAGGUCUCUGCUAAACCGUAAGGUGAUGUAUAGGGGCUGACGCCUGCCCGGUGCUGGAAGGUUAAGAGGAGUGGUUAGCUUCUGCGAAGCUACGAAUCGAAGCCCCAGUAAACGGCGGCCGUAACUAUAACGGUCCUAAGGUAGCGAAAUUCCUUGUCGGGUAAGUUCCGACCCGCACGAAAGGCGUAACGAUUUGGGCACUGUCUCAACGAGAGACUCGGUGAAAUCAUAGUACCUGUGAAGAUGCAGGUUACCCGCGACAGGACGGAAAGACCCCGUGGAGCUUUACUGUAGCCUGAUAUUGAAAUUCGGCACAGCUUGUACAGGAUAGGUAGGAGCCUUUGAAACGUGAGCGCUAGCUUACGUGGAGGCGCUGGUGGGAUACUACCCUAGCUGUGUUGGCUUUCUAACCCGCACCACUUAUCGUGGUGGGAGACAGUGUCAGGCGGGCAGUUUGACUGGGGCGGUCGCCUCCUAAAAGGUAACGGAGGCGCUCAAAGGUUCCCUCAGAAUGGUUGGAAAUCAUUCAUAGAGUGUAAAGGCAUAAGGGAGCUUGACUGCGAGACCUACAAGUCGAGCAGGGUCGAAAGACGGACUUAGUGAUCCGGUGGUUCCGCAUGGAAGGGCCAUCGCUCAACGGAUAAAAGCUACCCCGGGGAUAACAGGCUUAUCUCCCCCAAGAGUUCACAUCGACGGGGAGGUUUGGCACCUCGAUGUCGGCUCAUCGCAUCCUGGGGCUGUAGUCGGUCCCAAGGGUUGGGCUGUUCGCCCAUUAAAGCGGUACGCGAGCUGGGUUCAGAACGUCGUGAGACAGUUCGGUCCCUAUCCGUCGUGGGCGUAGGAAAUUUGAGAGGAGCUGUCCUUAGUACGAGAGGACCGGGAUGGACAUACCUCUGGUGUACCAGUUGUCGUGCCAACGGCAUAGCUGGGUAGCUAUGUGUGGACGGGAUAAGUGCUGAAAGCAUCUAAGCAUGAAGCCCCCCUCAAGAUGAGAUUUCCCAACUUCGGUUAUAAGAUCCCUCAAAGAUGAUGAGGUUAAUAGGUUCGAGGUGGAAGCAUGGUGACAUGUGGAGCUGACGAAUACUAAUCGAUCGAAGACUUAAUCAA
Molecule: ribosomal RNA, 2575 nt
Filed under: Staphylococcus aureus
Lineage: Bacteria; Bacillati; Bacillota; Bacilli; Caryophanales; Staphylococcaceae
Description: partial 23S ribosomal RNA
Rfam family: Bacterial large subunit ribosomal RNA
Source: RNAcentral